AUUAGGACACCUUGUGAUAGGUCGACCUUUGAUUGAUCAAAGGAGUGUGUCAUAGAGAGUUGUUCAUCUCCUAUUGCACCAAGGAGUGUGUUCAGCAGAGGAUGAACUGAGAAGAGACACAGAGGUCUAUAAGCAGGAGGUGGAUGACCUAGGAAGCUAGGUUUUUAUCAGGACUCUGAUAGGAGUGAGUAGGAUUAGAGAAACUAUAAAAGGGGUUGCAGAGAAGUGGGAAAGCAUCAAAAAUCGAAAAAGGGGUAGAGAAAUUGAGAGUUAGAGAACGUGAUUGUGAAGGAAGGAUUCAGAGAUUUGAAGGGUUCUUCAGAGAAGCAAAAUUAAUCGAAUUCAAGGUACAAAACCAGAAACCUAAAAGUCUACUUGCUGUCUGUUGUGUAAUUAUGUAGAAGAAAUAAAAAGAUGAGCUUGUUGGUUUUUACUCUCUUGUUUGAAUAAAGAACUAUUU
Malus domestica (apple) is the source of this 460-nucleotide non-coding RNA. NCBI's taxonomy places the organism in Eukaryota, Viridiplantae, Streptophyta, Magnoliopsida, Rosales, Rosaceae. The record is from RefSeq and is a predicted model, not a curated record.